This 965-nucleotide long non-coding RNA is filed under the name Mus musculus (house mouse). RNAcentral's name for it is "predicted gene 11728". Lineage: Eukaryota; Metazoa; Chordata; Mammalia; Rodentia; Muridae. The record is from RNAcentral.
ACACAUUGUGUUCUCUUCCCUGCAAGAUCACGGCACUCAUGACCAACCACGAAUUGAAUCUGUCCAGGGUCAGGUGUGGGUUCAGCUGCCCCAUAACCCUAGAAUGGAGUUCCUUCCUGCCAGCAGGGUGAAGAGGAAGUGAUUGGAAUAGACACUGUCUUUCCAGAAGGUUCCAAGGGUCUUAGUGCUGGAGACAGAAGAACAGUGAAGGAUACACCAGCCUUCCUUCGUGCUGCUGCAGCAUGUGAGAUUGUAGCAUGUGAGAACCUGGCGUUUAUACUCUCACCCCUUCCUGACCUUCUUCUUGGUCUUCCCAACGGGAUGUGUCCCACUCUUUGGUUAACCCUCAGAUGGAGAUGUAGAACUCUGCACCAUGCCUGCCUGGAUGCUGCCAUGUUCCUGCCUUGAUGAUAAUGGACUGAACCUCGGAACCUAGUGUCCUUCAGUGAUUCGGGGUGAACUUCAUCUCAGAUGGACUGAUCCUUUAAUUUCUCCAAAGCAGCCCACUUCUGUGGUCAACGUGAGUGGCCGAUGAGCCAUUGUAUUUGAGUGUCUCUCCUUCCCACGGGGAAGUCUAAGCUUUCAUUGGUUUUCAUGCUCUGAUCAGCUCCAGGAUGGGGAGAUGAGAGCUGACUGUUGAAAGUGGCAGUGGUUUGAUCUGCGUGUGUUGGCACAUGCCCGUCCUGCAGCACUUGGGAGGCAGCAGCAGGAGAUUCCGGAGUUCAAGGCUUGUAGUUCCGCUGCUCUUCUAGAGGACCGGACAUCACUGAUGUGAGAAAGUUCACAGUGGCCUGUAACUCCAGCCACAGUGGGUAUGAUGCCCUCUUCUGGUCUCCUCAGGCAACUUUGCACAUGUGACAUACACACACACACACAUAUAAAUGAGAAUAAUAAAAACAAAUCUUUAUUUAAAAAACAAACAAACAGACAAAAAAUAAACAAAGCCAGUGUUUUUGGUGACAGGA